This 433-nucleotide ribosomal RNA is filed under the name uncultured bacterium. RNAcentral's name for it is "partial 16S ribosomal RNA". It matches the Rfam family "Bacterial small subunit ribosomal RNA", at positions 29 to 507 of the family's 1533-position model. The record is from RNAcentral.
AACGAACGCUGGCGGCAUGCCUAACACAUGCCAGUCGAACGAGUCCUUCGGGUCUAGUGGCGCACGGGUGCGCAACGCGUGGGAACCUGCCCUUAGGUUCGGAAUAACUCCCCGAAAGGGGUGCUAAUACCGGAUAAUGUCUUCGGACCAAAGAUUUAUCGCCUUUGGAUGGGCCCGCGUUGGAUUAGCUAGUUGGUAGGGUAAAAGCCUACCAAGGCGACGAUCCAUAGCUGGUCUGAGAGGAUGAUCAGCCACACUGGGACUGAGACACGGCCCAGACUCCUACGGGAGGCAGCAGUGGGGAAUAUUGGACAAUGGGCGAAAGCCUGAUCCAGCAAUGCCGCGUGAGUGAUGAAGGCCUUAGGGUUGUAAAGCUCUUUUACCCGGGAUGAUAAUGACAGUACCGGGAGAAUAAGCUCCGGCUAACUCCGUG